GAACUAUUGUUAAGGAACUCUGCAAAAUGAGUCCGUAACUUCGGAAGAAGGACUGCUGGUUUUAUACCAGCCGCAGCAAAUAGGCCCAAACAACUGUUUAUCAAAAACACAGGUUUCUGCAAAAUCGUAAGAUGAAGUAUAGGGGCUGACGCCUGCCCAGUGCUGGAAGGUUAAAAGGAGGACUUAGCUUCGGCGAAGGUCUUAAUUGAAGCCCCAGUGAACGGCGGCCGUAACUAUAACGGUCCUAAGGUAGCGAAAUUCCUUGUCGGGUAAGUUCCGACCCGCAUGAAAGGCGUAAUGAUUUGGGCGCUGUCUCAACAAUAGACUCGGUGAAAUUUAAAUUCCAGUGAAGAUGCUGGGUACCCGCGACAGGACGGAAAGACCCCGUGGAGCUUUACUGUAGCUUGAUAUUGAAUGUUUGUGCUGCAUGUGCAGGAUAGGUA
RNAcentral lists this ribosomal RNA (443 nucleotides) under Oenococcus oeni. RNAcentral's name for it is "bacterial LSU rRNA". It matches the Rfam family "Bacterial large subunit ribosomal RNA", at positions 1696 to 2149 of the family's 2925-position model. Lineage: Bacteria; Bacillati; Bacillota; Bacilli; Lactobacillales; Lactobacillaceae. The record is from RNAcentral.